Molecule: long non-coding RNA, 513 nt
Organism: Lathyrus oleraceus (garden pea)
Lineage: Eukaryota; Viridiplantae; Streptophyta; Magnoliopsida; Fabales; Fabaceae
Exons: 2
Source: RefSeq, a predicted model, not a curated record
UUUAGUGAGUGUUGUGCAAGUCCUGAAAUAUCAUAAAGGUUAGAAUUUUAUUUUAGUUUAAGAAAAAAGAUUACAUUUUUAAAAAUAGUGAUGAUGAGUCAAAUUCAAAAAUGUAUUGUGAUGAUUUUGAUGAUGAUGAUGUUGUUUACAAUACAAGUUCAGUGCAUCACUCAAUCUCAAGACUCUAAGUCAGACAAACCCCUAGGCUUUUUUUGUAAAAUAAGGUGUUUCUUUUAUGUCUGUGGGAAAUUAUUAGGCCAGGAGUACCAAAACUGCAUGAAUAGUUGUCUUGUAAAUUGCUAAGAACAACACUGCUAUGAUUCUUCGCAUAAGCAAUGGUGUUCGUGCUUAAGGAUGGUGCAUGCUUGUCGUACUUGUGAUGCUUACAAACAAUUCUUCAAAUGUGGAGAGUUGCAAUAAAUAAUAAAUAAUAUGGGAAAUGUUAUUCAAUGAAAUGUAUUUAUAAAUAUUGACACUGUGUCAAACUUAAAUAAAUUUAUUUUAUUCAAGAUA